AGUGAACGCUGGCGGUAGGCCUAACACAUGCCCGUCGAACGGCAGCACAGUAAGAGCUUGCUCUUACGGGUGGCGAGUGGCGGACGGGUGAGGAAUACAUCGGAAUCUACUUUUUCGUGGAGGAUAACGUAGGGCAACUUACGCUAAUACCGCAUACGACCUACGGGUGAAAGCAGGGGAUCUUCGGACCUUGCGCGAUUGACUGAGCCGAUGUCGGAUUAGCUAGUUGGCGGGGUAAAGGCCCACCAAGGCGACCAUCCGUAGCUGGUCUCAGAGGAUGAUCAGCCACACUGGAACUGAGACACGGUCCAGACUCCAACGGGACGCAGCAGUGGAGAAUAUUGGAGAAUGGGCGCAAGCCUGAUCUAGACAUAACGCGUGGGUGAAGAAGGCCUUCGGGUUGUAAAGCCCUUUUAUUGGGAAAGAAAAGCAGCAGCUUAAUACCCCGCUGUGCUGACGGUACCCAAAGAAUAAGCACGGGCUAACUUCGUG
This 492-nucleotide ribosomal RNA is filed under the name uncultured bacterium. RNAcentral describes it as "partial 16S ribosomal RNA". It matches the Rfam family "Bacterial small subunit ribosomal RNA", at positions 29 to 507 of the family's 1533-position model. The record is from RNAcentral.